GCCCCAGUGGCCUAAUGAACAAGGCCCUGAUCUCUGGUGCCAGGGGUAGUGGGUUCAAGUCCCACCUGGGGUA
Molecule: transfer RNA, 73 nt
Filed under: Pelodiscus sinensis (Chinese soft-shelled turtle)
Lineage: Eukaryota; Metazoa; Chordata; Testudines; Trionychidae
Rfam family: tRNA
About the family: Transfer RNA (tRNA) molecules are approximately 80 nucleotides in length. Their secondary structure includes four short double-helical elements and three loops (D, anti-codon, and T loops).
Source: Rfam by way of RNAcentral